AAAGAGUCCAAAUUUAUUCUGGACCAUCUAUGCUUGUUAUAAAUUGAGGCGAAUAAUUUGAUUCAGCCUUUUAAGAUCAAUUAAUAAUUUUAUUAAUUACAGCAAGCGAUAGCAAGCAAACAGCGCUGGGUGCAGCUGCGGAGCCUGUGUUCCGCCAAAAGCUGACAACCUUUCCUUCUCUUCAGUCCCUUUUUAUCCUGCAUAAGUGGGGGUGAUGGGUCUCCUUCCACCGUGGUUAUCAGUUCCAGCAACAAUGGGUUUCACAAAUGGGGGUGGUGAGUCUCCUUCCACUGAGGUUAUCAGUUUCAGCAACAAUGGGUUUCCACUGCGUUUAUCAGUUCCAGCCAGUCCUGCAAAAUCUUUCACAAUCUUUGUUUGUGGUUACCAGUCAAGCCUGCAAAUUCCAUGUCCCGACUUCCCCCCCUUUUAUCCUAAUUUCAUACUUUUGAUGAACAAACAAGUCAAUGCAGUUCCUCACAUGCUUAUAUACUAUUUUAGGAAGGCUAGUAAUGUUUUACUACAAUGAUUGGGUUAAUCAUCACAUAAACAAAUGUAUUUCACAAUAUCUCUUUUUUGCAGAAGUCCUGAUGGAAUUUUAUUUUCCAAUAAGUGAGCCUGAUUUAAUCUUCUUGCAAUCUUCAAAGCUAUUUGCUCUUGCCAAGGCAUCCUAAUUGUCAAAUCUCUUAUGCUAACCAGGUCGAAAGUCCAUUAUCGGUCUUGUCUGUCUCAAUACUUUAUCUUUGUUUAAUUGCUUCUUAUCGCCCUAUCAAUUAGGAUUCAAGUCCUCCUUUUAUUGAAAUAAUUGUUUUUAAAAAUGAGAGACAGUGGUGUGCACUUUUUGUAACACAAGAAAACAUUCCAUUAUCUGAAGAUGGAUGAGGAAAUUAGGUAUUGACAGCUAUAUAGAUGCCCAUCUCUAGGCAAAAGGAACACAGAAUUUGUAACUGAACUCUACUUCCCUAUGCUUUGUUACCUCCAGCAUUGAUAAGAGAUCUAAAUUUUGCUGAACACAAGAUGAAACUUUAAUAUUGCCUUUAGAUACUUCAAUAUGCUGAAGAGAUACAAAGUUGGAAAAAACAUGUGAUGAAGGAUAACUGGAAUAGGGCAACUAAGGAUUCUAUGUUUAUAUGCCAUAAAUAGGCUUUUGUCCUAAUCAGUAUUUUUGAUUACUGCAUCUGAGACAAAGGCAUUGAAACAGAGAUUUUUGGAGUUCACUGAAGUUAACAAAAUGAAUUAAUCAUUUAUAUUUUAGCUUGUAGAGUUAUGUAUUAAAUUUUAACCUUUUACUUGAGCAACCUCUGCCAUGGUACAAAGGGCAUAAGAAAAUGCAAAUUUCUGAAGGUUAUUGCACAAAGAGCAAUGUCUCAGAAUGCAAAGAACCCAGUAAAGAAGCUUUCCUGUCUUCAAGCCUAUCAAGACUGACAGACGCACACAGAUAAGCACUAAAAGACCAAAAGCGCACGCGCAGAGAGGAAGAGUUCAAAAGUUCAACCAUGAAGAAGACCAUGAUCUUCAGCCUCAAGAGACCACCAGAGACCCUCACAGGACCACCAUGACAAACCACACAUGCCUAGAAGGGCGUAGACCUAUUUAACAUGAGAGGAAAGGACAGGUGGGGCCGGGUUGAAUAUGCAUUAAAAAGUUGUGCAAUGUAUUACAUAUGGAACACCUUUGUGAAUAAAAUUGUGGGUCAGACUAAGGCUCAGUGCACAAGAUUUUGGAGAACGAUCUCACUUGUGUCGAGUGCUGGCAAUACAUACCCACUUCAUAACUACUCCAAGUUGUGGAGUCUAUUUAUUUAUCUAUUUUGCGUAUUGCUUCAGCAUAGCCUUGGUGAAAAAACAAAGAGAAGGAUUCUGGACACUGGAAAAAUUUUAAAAAUUGAAGAAGGAACAGAUUCAUAACUUGAAUCUGUACAAAAAGGCAUAUAAAAAGGAAUUUUCAAGACAUGGACAAAUGACAGUCACAGAUGCAAGGUUUUUCAGAAUUUAGCUAAAUCAAGACCCUAAGCCUUUUCAAAGUCUUUAAAAAUUAAACAAAAGUGUGAAGACC
Molecule: long non-coding RNA, 2052 nt
Organism: Taeniopygia guttata (zebra finch)
Lineage: Eukaryota; Metazoa; Chordata; Aves; Passeriformes; Estrildidae
Source: Ensembl